AUGAACGCUGGCGGCGUGCCUCAUACCUGCAAGUCGAGCGCACAGACGAGGAGCUUGCUCCUCUGACGUUAGCGGCGGACGGGUGAGUAACACGUGGAUAACCUACCUAUAGGACUGGGAUAACUUCGGGAAACCGGAGCUAAUACCGGAUAAUAUAUUGAACUGCAUGGUUCAAUAGUGAAAGACGGUUUUGCUGUCACUUAUAGAUGGAUCCGCGCCGCAUUAGCUAGUUGGUAAGGUAACGGCUUACCAAGGCAACGAUGCGUAGCCGACCUGAGAGGGUGAUCGGCCACACUGGAACUGAGACACGGUCCAGACUCCUACGGGAGGCAGCAGUAGGGAAUCUUCCGCAAUGGGCGAAAGCUUGACGGAGCAACGCCGCGUGAGUGAUGAAGGUCUUCGGAUCGUAAAACUCUGUUAUUAGGGAAGAACAAAUGUGUAAGUAACUAUGCACGUCUUGACGGUACCUAAUCAGAAAGCCACGGCUAACUACGUG
RNAcentral lists this ribosomal RNA (496 nucleotides) under uncultured bacterium. RNAcentral's name for it is "partial 16S ribosomal RNA". It matches the Rfam family "Bacterial small subunit ribosomal RNA", at positions 29 to 507 of the family's 1533-position model. The record is from RNAcentral.